Molecule: non-coding RNA, 191 nt
Organism: Oryza glaberrima (African rice)
Lineage: Eukaryota; Viridiplantae; Streptophyta; Magnoliopsida; Poales; Poaceae
Source: Rfam
UGCGUCGGCCUCGUAGAUGGACCAGGAGCUCGACGUUCCUUAAGGCCGUUCUUUCCGACCCAUACAAGGUUUCGUCGCCUGCAUUGUUCCAAGAGUGUCUUGGACGAAAGCAGGAAGUGGAACCUUGUUAAGGUCGGAACGAACUGCCUUAAGGAAGUCGAUGCUCCAGGUCCGUCCACGAGGACGACGCA